RNAcentral lists this ribosomal RNA (443 nucleotides) under uncultured bacterium. RNAcentral's name for it is "partial 16S ribosomal RNA". It matches the Rfam family "Bacterial small subunit ribosomal RNA", at positions 338 to 795 of the family's 1533-position model. The record is from RNAcentral.
CCUACGGGAGGCUGCAGUGGGGAAUAUUGGGCAAUGGGCGCAAGCCUGACCCAGCAACGCCGCGUGAAGGACGAAGGCGCUCGGGUUGUAAACUUCUUUUGUCAGAGACGCAGAAAGUGACGGUACCUGCCGAAUAAGCCACGGCUAACUACGUGCCAGCAGCCGCGGUAAUACGGCGGUGGCAAGCGUUAUGCGGAUUUACUGGGUGUCAGGGGCGUGUAGGCGGGGAAGCAAGUCAGAUGUGAAAUUCCAGGGCUCAACCCUGGAACAGCAUUUGAAACUGUUUGUCUUGAGUGAUGGAGAGGUAGGCGGAAUGCCGGGUGUAGCGGUGAAAUGCGUAGAUAUAGGGAGGAACACCGGUGGCGAAGGCGGCCUGCUGGACAUGAACUGACGCUGAGGCGCGAAAGCGUGGGGAGCAAACAGGAUUAGAUACCCUUGUAGUC